GCAUCGCUUGCAUGUAUGUCGCUUUCGCGCGUUAAAAAUAUAACCUGCAACAAAAAUCAAAGCUGCUCUAACAACACACACAUUGCCUGCUACAUUUUGCUUUGCCUUUAUUUUGCCGUUCUGUGGGAUUCCACUGCAUCCAUAUAAUUGCAAACCGGCGAGUUCAAGUUGGACUUCGAAGUUUCAUUGUGCACCGGUGUGAAUGGCUGCGCGUACCUAAUACAAUGAUAAACGUCCAAGGGGACAGUUCAGAUUAAGAUAUCUCGAGGGGUUCCACGCUGCUCUGCGCCGCCACGCUGCGCCUAACUUGGAACUAAAAACUCUACACUACCCUUACCUACAUCAUGAUGUAUACGCCAAGGCAUCUACAGACAAAAACCUUCAAAGAAAUAAAUUUGGACGAAAGCUGCCUGCAUCACACGAGUUAAAAAUAAGAAAUGUUCAGCCAAAGAAAGGUAUGUCGUGUUUCAGGGAGAAAGAAAAGGGAUUCAUGAGUAAGCGUGCAACCAUGAAACCAAACCGGCACCAUUAAGUCAUCAGAGCGUUCGGCGGUACACAAAAGCGAGGUCCAGCAAUGAAGAAACCAUGACGAAUUGUUAGUACUUGUUGUCCUUAAAAUGUACUCAACUGAUAAUGCUGGAUUCUGCUGUGGAAUAUCAUUUUACAACCCCUCAACGUAUUCCCAAGAAGUUAAUGAUGCAGCAGUUGAUGAAUUCAUUCGACUUGUCUCAUUAAAUUUGCGUUUACACCCAUUUGCAGUAGACAUGUUACAUUUCAUGAUCAGAAGGUUGUGAAAAACAAAUUCCACUGUUGUCAUUCGAAUCAAGAUCUCGAUAUGAAUGUAAUAUUUUUGUGGAUAUUUGAGAGGGUUGGUGGAAUCGUUAAGCACGCUGGAAGAACAAUAAGUCGUCGAUAGCAGUGGCAGCAGCAGCAUCUUGGGGGAUUUUGCAGCUCUGUGGAAUGCAUGGCCAUAAUGGGAAUUUCACGGAAAAUAAGACGAAGAAUGGAAACGCUUUUGCUGGCAGUUGCCGGCCCCGCGUCGGAGGAAGCGAUGGGAGCACAGGAUGGAUGUCGUCGGCGGAUGCGGCGGCCGCCUCUCGAGCGUGCGCCGAUUGGCCGUGCAGAGCGCGUCGCCCUAGCAACGGUGGCGAGAAGGUGGAGGCCGCACGGCAUACCCGUCUUGAUUCAUCGGCACCUUGAGACGCCGCUUUAAUGUUGCCUUUAUUCAAAUUAAUCGCGUUUUUCCUCAGCGCCAUCGCGCGAGCCUUCUUUCCCAUGCGCCGCGUUAUUUCGGCAAUAACUCACCGCCGGGGAUUUCAUAUUAGUAUUGGUAUCGCAGCUGCAACUUGCACCCAGGGCACUCACGACCGGAAUAAAAUUGAAAAUUCAACUUUCAAUAUAAAUUCAAAUUCUACACCUUAGAUCUUCGACUUGCAGACACUUAGAAUGUGUCUAUACGAUAUACAACGUCGGUGCAUUGAAAUCAGUAAAUUAAACCUGCGGCCAACUUUGAAAAAAAAAGGAGACGGUUUAGAGCCUGUUGGGCAUUCCGUUGGGAAAUUAAUUACAAACCUGCGGGGUUAUUAAGAACCAGCGGUGAUGCCUCUGGUGCUGCCGCCUCCAGGGUUACAGUCACUGGUACAUUCUAUUGUUCAAAGCAAGGCGGACGCUCACAUUUACGAAUAUUUAUUACAUCGAUUCGCGCGCAGCAGUGGCCUAGACUUAGAAACUGCGUUCCAAGUUUCAUUAAAAGUUUCUGCGUUAUUUGAUACAGAUUUACGUAAUUUACCUAUACAGGAGGCGCUUCGUUCAUUAUUUCCGAAAGUAAUUAAAGAAUAAUGCUACAAAUCAGAUAAGAUAAGAAUUUGGCGUGGCAAAAUAUUAAGAUUUUAUAAAAGGAGAGUUUAAAAUGAAUACAUUUAGGCUGAGUUUAUUCUACAUUAUUUUGUUAAAAUUAAUUUGGUUUUCAUUCUUAGUUAUAGGUACCUACGUAUUGUUAGUACAUCGGAAGCAUCUUGAUGAAAGUACAAAAUUUAGAAUUACUCAAUAAUUGGUAUAAGUUUGGAACGAGAUAAAUUUAGUUUAUAAGAUGAAAUAAUUAAUUUGAUUGUUUACGGUAGUUGUAUCAAACGCAUGAAUGCAAAUGAGUAUUCAUGAGUUAUUUUAUAAUGUGAUAACGAGCAAAAAUUUAAGCAAUAACCGGACAACGCAUAAUUAAUUAAGCACAAUGCGUUCACGCAUUACACAUUUAGCAAUUGCAUUAACAUAACACUCAGCAGUCGAAAUAAAACGUAUAUUAUUCAGUGCCACGAUCUUCAUGAAUGUCAAAAUUAAUUCUUUGUUUAUGAAUAUUUUGGUUUGUUUCACACUGCUUAUAUUUGCACUCCAUUAUGCCACAGACUGUGUGCGUUAGAUAUUAUAGUCGUAUUUAUUCGCAAAAUAAUAGGAGAUAUUAUUAUAUAAACGAUUUACACGUUUUCGAGGCGUACACACACGGCUUUUAAUUAACGCGUCCGCUUUUCGGCGAACGCGGACUGUGUGGUGGCCGCUCGCGUCGAGCCUCAGCGCUCGUAAUUCUUAAUUAAUUAGGCCAUUAGCGCAUUAGCCAAUUAAUUCCUUUUUGCUCCUAAAUUACUAAAUAUGCAUGACGCUGCCAUGUAUUUUGGCUACGGGGCUGUUUAAACUGUGUGCGCAUGUAUUCGGCAAUGUUAAUGGCGAAUUAUGAUAAUCUCUCUGGUUAAUUUGAUAAUUGCGCCGUAAGAUUUACACAAAUUGUAAUUUAUAGUUCAUUUUUAUAAAUAAAUACUAGACAUAUUGACAAAAAAAA
This is a long non-coding RNA of Dalotia coriaria, 2827 nucleotides long. RefSeq lists it as uncharacterized. The record is from RefSeq and is a predicted model, not a curated record. The transcript is spliced from 5 exons. Lineage: Eukaryota; Metazoa; Arthropoda; Insecta; Coleoptera; Staphylinidae.